This 426-nucleotide ribosomal RNA is filed under the name uncultured Comamonadaceae bacterium. RNAcentral describes it as "bacterial SSU rRNA". It matches the Rfam family "Bacterial small subunit ribosomal RNA", at positions 356 to 774 of the family's 1533-position model. Lineage: Bacteria; Pseudomonadati; Pseudomonadota; Betaproteobacteria; Burkholderiales; Comamonadaceae. The record is from RNAcentral.
GGGGAAUUUUGGACAAUGGGCGAAAGCCUGAUCCAGCAAUGCCGCGUGCAGGAUGAAGGCCUUCGGGUUGUAAACUGCUUUUGUACGGAACGAAAAGGCUCUGGCUAAUACCUGGGGCACAUGACGGUACCGUAAGAAUAAGCACCGGCUAACUACGUGCCAGCAGCCGCGGUAAUACGUAGGGUGCGAGCGUUAAUCGGAAUUACUGGGCGUAAAGCGUGCGCAGGCGGUUUUGUAAGACAGAGGUGAAAUCCCCGGGCUCAACCUGGGAACUGCAUCCAAAACUGGCGAGCUAGAGUAUGGCAGAGGGUGGUGGAAUUUCCUGUGUAGCGGUGAAAUGCGUAGAUAUAGGAAGGAACACCAGUGGCGAAGGCGACCACCUGGGCUAAUACUGACACUGAGGUGCGAAAGCGUGGGGAGCAAACA